This 574-nucleotide ribosomal RNA is filed under the name uncultured bacterium. RNAcentral's name for it is "partial 16S ribosomal RNA". It matches the Rfam family "Bacterial small subunit ribosomal RNA", at positions 355 to 928 of the family's 1533-position model. The record is from RNAcentral.
UGAGGAAUAUUGGUCAAUGGGCGAGAGCCUGAACCAGCCAAGUCGCGUGAAGGAAGACUGCCUUAUGGGUUGUAAACUUCUUUUAUACAGGAAUAAAAAGGCUUACGUGUAGGCCAUUGCAAGUACUGUAUGAAUAAGCAUCGGCUAACUCCGUGCCAGCAGCCGCGGUAAUACGGAGGAUGCGAGCGUUAUCCGGAUUUAUUGGGUUUAAAGGGUGCGCAGGCGGGCUUUUAAGUCAGCGGUGAAAUCUGGACGCUUAACGUCCAAACUGCCGUUGAAACUGGGAGUCUUGAGUAUGGAUGAAGUAGGCGGAAUUCGUUGUGUAGCGGUGACAUGCAUAGAUAUAACGAGGAACUCCGAUUGCGUAGGCAGCUUACUAAGCCAUAACUGACGCUCAUGCACGAAAGCGUGGGGAUCAAACAGGAUUAGAUACCCUGGUAGUCCACGCCGUAAACGAUGAUUACUAGUUGUAUGCGAUAUGAUAGUAUGUGACUAAGCGAAAGCGAUAAGUAAUCCACCUGGGGAGUACGCCGGCAACGGUGAAACUUAAAUGAAUUGACGGGGGUCAUAGCUG